RNAcentral lists this long non-coding RNA (743 nucleotides) under Manihot esculenta (cassava). RNAcentral describes it as "long non-coding RNA (MESC_LNC011813)". Lineage: Eukaryota; Viridiplantae; Streptophyta; Magnoliopsida; Malpighiales; Euphorbiaceae. The record is from RNAcentral.
UUUCUUUCCCUCUGACCAAGCCAAGCCAUUGUUGAUAGACUAUGAAUGGCGACCCGCAACUUUAGAUGACACCAAGAUGACACCAAUUAUCCGUUCAGGUGGCAAGAAUGGUGGUACAAGCAUUGGAACGACGUGAAAUUGGAGAGAGGACACGGUGGUAGAACAUUUUCUAGCUAAAAUUCCGUGAUCCCAGUGUCGAAUGGACGUGUUUCUACCUGUAAUUAUUUAUUUCCUUUCUCUAUCGAUUUUUAUUUUCAACGGAGAGGACUACAAUUACAAAAUUCAUAAAUUUUUCAAAAUCAAAAUAAAAAAUAAACAAUAUAUUACUGUUCAUCUUGUAUCACAUAAUUUAUGCAUAAUCAUGUAUAUUCAACAAACUAUGUAUAUAUUUCACAAUUUAAGUGUUACAUGAUAUUGCAAUGUAUUUGAAACCAAGUACUUGAAUAUCCAUAGAUUCUACAACUGAUGCGCUUUCAUUCUAUGCUGAUAACAUAUAAAAAAUAGGACUUCCAAAGAUCGUGAUACGUGUACACAUGAAUAGAAAGCCUUUCUAUCUAGUGGGAUCGGGCAGUAAGAAGUCCGACCUAUUAAGUACAAAGAAUCAGACCAGCAACACUCUUGAGUUCACUAAAACUCGAAAUGGACAGACCGACCUCCUCAAAGACCGAAAAGGACGGAAAGACUGACCUUCUCAAAAGUCUGUACUAUAACAAGGUUUUGAACGCCGACAUGGCCGACCUCAG